CGCCUUAGGGAGGCCUGGCCCGGGGCCUCGCAAAGGUGACCAAAGGCCAGUCAGGCCUCGGGAGGCCUGGUCCCGGGAAGGUGCCUUCGCUACAGAACAGAUUUUGCCUGAAUCUGACCGCUCCUUCCAGGCAGCAGUAAAGCGCAGCCUCUCUGUUGCUGCAUUGAAAUCAGUGAUAUCUCAAUCCAGGCACUGGCUUGGUCCUGCGUUAUGAUGGGAUCGCACCUCCCAGCGAGGAACAGUGCGGCCUUGCAGGCUGAUAACUGAAGGGAAUGACCAGAGCUUGUAAAUCAAAGCUGCUGCUGACACCUGAUCGCGGGCACCUGGCAGCUCCAGGAAACAAGUGCAGGCACUGGGUUACAGAAGCAAAGGAAUUUAGGUACCUGAGUACUGCCCUAGUCCUGCUACAGACACUGAAAAACUCAGAGUCCUAAAACCACUUCGCAGCUGCAGGCCGAGCUGUGAGACAUCUGAACGCACUAAACACCUACCCCAACCAAUAAAUUCCCGGAGGAUGAUCUCAGGUGCUCACCAUGUGGUCAGUACAUGUCCCACUUAGACACAUCUUCCACAGCAUCCAAACCAAGACUGACUGGGAUCAUUCCAGUGUGAUGACAUCUGAAGUGCAUUUGUAAGAACUGAGAAAGUAUCACCUGAGAAAGGUCACAAGGAAAAGUCUGGAGGGAAGAGAUGCAUUUGUGGUGCUGGAAAUGUGUGUGAGAGGACACCUGCAGAGAAGAUGAUGUUAUAGCUACUGAUGUGAUGCGCUGCUCAGAGAAGACAAGUCUGAUGAGGAACCAUGCCAGUCUCCUAAGUGGAUAGUGCAGUGCUGCCUGGAGGGAGGAGUGCCGGCAUUUCCCAGAUCACUUUGACGUGCCUCUCAUUACCAGAGAAAAGUUCAGUGACAAUGAAAUGCAUUUUAUUAUGUUUAAAUGAAAAACUUUAAAAACCCACAGAUUUCUAGAAUUUAAAAAUUAUUUGCAAGUGUUAGAACAGAAACAUCAAUUUAUAACCAGUGAUAAUAUGGGUGAGGACUCCUGAUAUACCCCUUUAUGCACUCUGGGCUCACAGAAUUAAUCUGCAGUUGUUAAAGCUGUCCCAGUCUAUCUGGUGCAGUUUCAUGCUCCAGUAUGUGAUGCCAGGUAGGAGCCUUAAUCCUGAAUAUUCUCUGUCUAUAUUCUUAUUUCCUGGAGAUCCAUUGGUUAUAAACAUUCCGUGGGCUUUCUGGAAAUGUAACAUGUUGAAAACUAACUAGUCACUAUUUAAAU
Long non-coding RNA from Hirundo rustica (Barn swallow), 1268 nucleotides. RefSeq lists it as uncharacterized. The record is from RefSeq and is a predicted model, not a curated record. The transcript is spliced from 3 exons. Lineage: Eukaryota; Metazoa; Chordata; Aves; Passeriformes; Hirundinidae.